UUUGAUCAAUUCUAAAUAUAGGUUUAGAAUUUGAUCAAGUUUGAACAUGAUUGUGAUUUGACUCUAGUUUUAUAUGCUAGAGAAUCGAAUAUUUUGGGAAUUGGGAUGUUCGUGAAAAUUGAAUUUGAGUUUAGUUUAACUAUAUUUCGGUCAGUUGAUUUGGUGGAUUAGUUUAACGACGUUUCGGUCGGAGGUUUGGGUUUGGUUCACAAGGUUUAUGGUAUUGGGUAUAUGGGAUUAUGGUUCAUGAACUUAGAUAUGGUUCAUGGGUUUAUGGUUCAUGGACUUAUGGUUCAUGGGUUUAUGGUUCAUGAACUUGAUUUGAUUCAUGAACUUGAUUCAUAGUUCGUGGAUUUGGUGUAUGGUAUGGUCCACAGGAUUUGGUGUAUGGUUUGGUCCAUGGUUUUGGUUCAAAGUUCAUGGACUUGGUUAAGGUUAUGGGCUUGAAUAUGGGUUAAAUGUGUAUGGGUUCAUGGGUAAAUGUAUAUAGGUUUAUGUAUAUGGGUUUAUGGGUUAAUGGUUUUAAUGAGUUUUGGAUAAUGGGCUUAGAUAGUGGGCCCAAAUGGGUUUUGGACUGGGGCCAUUUGU
RNAcentral lists this long non-coding RNA (588 nucleotides) under Ananas comosus (pineapple). RNAcentral describes it as "long non-coding RNA (ACOM_LNC003850)". Lineage: Eukaryota; Viridiplantae; Streptophyta; Magnoliopsida; Poales; Bromeliaceae. The record is from RNAcentral.